GGUAUUGUAGCUCAUUGGUAGAGUGUUUGCUUUGCACACGGGAAGCCCUGGGUUCGAUCCUCAGCACCA
Molecule: transfer RNA, 69 nt
Filed under: Ictidomys tridecemlineatus (thirteen-lined ground squirrel)
Lineage: Eukaryota; Metazoa; Chordata; Mammalia; Rodentia; Sciuridae
Description: Spermophilus tridecemlineatus (thirteen-lined ground squirrel) tRNA
Rfam family: tRNA
About the family: Transfer RNA (tRNA) molecules are approximately 80 nucleotides in length. Their secondary structure includes four short double-helical elements and three loops (D, anti-codon, and T loops).
Source: Rfam by way of RNAcentral